RNAcentral lists this ribosomal RNA (252 nucleotides) under uncultured bacterium. RNAcentral describes it as "partial 16S ribosomal RNA". It matches the Rfam family "Bacterial small subunit ribosomal RNA", at positions 524 to 776 of the family's 1533-position model. The record is from RNAcentral.
GACGAACCGUCCUAACGUUGUUCGGAAUCACUGGCUUAAAGGGCGCGUAGGCGGGUUCCCAAGUCGGUGGUGAAAUCUUUCGGCCCAACCGGAAAACAGCCGCCGAUACUGGGAGUCUUGAGGGAGGUAGGGGUCGAUGGAACUUCCGGUGGAGCGGUGAAAUGCGUAGAUAUCGGAAAGAACGCCGGUGGCGAAAGCGAUCGACUGGACCUUUUCUGACGCUGAGGCGCGAAAGCCAGGGGAGCAAACGGG